This 433-nucleotide ribosomal RNA is filed under the name uncultured bacterium. RNAcentral describes it as "partial 16S ribosomal RNA". It matches the Rfam family "Bacterial small subunit ribosomal RNA", at positions 29 to 507 of the family's 1533-position model. The record is from RNAcentral.
AACGAACGCUGGCGGCAGGCCUAACACAUGCAAGUCGAGCGAGGACUUCGGUUCUAGCGGCGGACGGGUGAGUAACGCGUGGGAAUGUGCCCUUCUCUACGGAAUAGCCCUGGGAAACUGGGAGUAAUACCGUAUACGCCCUAUUGGGGAAAGAUUUAUCGGAGAAGGAUCAGCCCGCGUUGGAUUAGGUAGUUGGUGGGGUAAUGGCCUACCAAGCCGACGAUCCAUAGCUGGUUUGAGAGGAUGAUCAGCCACACUGGGACUGAGACACGGCCCAGACUCCUACGGGAGGCAGCAGUGGGGAAUCUUAGACAAUGGCGGCAACCCUGAUCUAGCCAUGCCGCGUGAGUGAUGAAGGCCUUAGGGUUGUAAAGCUCUUUCAGCUGGGAAGAUAAUGACGGUACCAGCAGAAGAAGCCCCGGCUAACUCCGUG